CCUACGGGUGGCAGCAGUCGAGAAUCAUUCACAAUGGGGGAAACCCUGAUGGUGCGACGCCGCGUGGGGGAAUGAAGGUCUUCGGAUUGUAAACCCCUGUCAUGUGGGAGCAAAUUAAAAAGAUAGUACCACAAGAGGAAGAGACGGCUAACUCUGUGCCAGCAGCCGCGGUAAUACAGAGGUCUCAAGCGUUGUUCGGAAUCACUUGGCGUAAAGCGUGCGUAGGCGGUUUCGUAAGUCGUGUGUGAAAGGCGCGGGCUCAACCCGCGGACGGCACAUGAUACUGCGAGACUAGAGUGAUGGAGGGGGAAGCGGAAUUCUCGGUGUAGCAGUGAAAUGCGUAGAUAGCGAGAGGAACACUCGUGGCGAAGGCGGGUUCCUGGACAUUAACUGACGCUGAGGCACGAAGGCCAGGGGAGCGAAAGGGAUUAGAUACCCUAGUAGUC
Molecule: ribosomal RNA, 446 nt
Filed under: uncultured bacterium
Lineage: Bacteria
Description: partial 16S ribosomal RNA
Rfam family: Bacterial small subunit ribosomal RNA
Source: RNAcentral